This 277-nucleotide ribosomal RNA is filed under the name Rhizophagus irregularis. The record is from RNAcentral. Lineage: Eukaryota; Fungi; Glomeromycota; Glomeromycetes; Glomerales; Glomeraceae.
CAGUCGUACCUGCGGGUAAUCAGCCUUUUGGGCAUGAUUCUGUGGAGCGUGAGGAGUUAAACGCCUUCAUGCCUGCAUAUUCGUGUACUUUGGGUGUACUUGCCUGUGUGGUUAGUUAACAUCAAUUUUGGUAUCAUAAAAUGAUUGGAGGAAUGUAGCUUUGAUCUCGUAUCGAAGUGUUAUAGCCUCUGGUAGAUGUGACGAUUGGGAUUGGAGGAUUGCAACGGAUACCCCGUCGGGGCUACCCGUCUGAUCUCUGAAGGUUGCGUCCGGUGGC